AAUCGCUAGUAAUCGCGGAUCAGAAUGCCGCGGUGAAUACGUUCCCGGGUCUUGUACACACCGCCCGUCACACCAUGGGAGUCGGGAAUGCCCGAAGCCGGUGACCCAACCCCUGGUGGACAUGAAAGACGUGAUGGCAGAAGGAAGUUCUGGCAUACACGAAAGAAGAAUACGCCACGGAAGUGGAGAGAGUCGUGUCCAGCAGGGGGAGGGAGCCGUCGAAGGCAGAUUCGAUAACUGGGGUGAAGUCGUAACAAGGUAAC
RNAcentral lists this ribosomal RNA (263 nucleotides) under uncultured bacterium. RNAcentral describes it as "partial 16S ribosomal RNA". It matches the Rfam family "Bacterial small subunit ribosomal RNA", at positions 1330 to 1500 of the family's 1533-position model. The record is from RNAcentral.